RNAcentral lists this transfer RNA (56 nucleotides) under Toxocara apodemi. RNAcentral describes it as "tRNA-Thr". Lineage: Eukaryota; Metazoa; Nematoda; Chromadorea; Rhabditida; Toxocaridae. The record is from RNAcentral.
GCUACUGUAGUUUUGUUGUAAAAUGUGUGAUUUGUAAUCAUGAGAUUUAGGUAGUU